GUGUCAGCAGCCGCGGUAAUACGUAGGGGGCAAGCGUUGUCCGGAUUCAUUGGGCGUAAAGAGCGUGUAGGCGGCCAGGUAGGUCUGGUGUGAAAACUGGAGGCUCAACCUCCAGCUGUCACUGGAAACCAUCUGGCUAGAGUCCGGAAGAGGAGAGUGGAAUUCCUGGUGUAGCGGUGAAAUGCGCAGAUAUCAGGAAGAACACCUAUGGCGAAGGCAGCUCUCUGGGACGGUACUGACGCUGAGACGCGAAAGCGUGGGGAGCGAACAGGAUUAGAAACCCGGGUAGUCC
RNAcentral lists this ribosomal RNA (292 nucleotides) under uncultured bacterium. Its description in RNAcentral is "partial 16S ribosomal RNA". It matches the Rfam family "Bacterial small subunit ribosomal RNA", at positions 505 to 796 of the family's 1533-position model. The record is from RNAcentral.